GGGCGGUUAGCUCAGUCGGUAGAGCGCCACGUUUACACCGUGGAUGUCGGCGGUUCGAGCCCGUCACCGCCCACCA
RNAcentral lists this transfer RNA (76 nucleotides) under Rhodospirillales bacterium. Its description in RNAcentral is "tRNA-Val". It matches the Rfam family "tRNA". From Rfam's summary of the family: Transfer RNA (tRNA) molecules are approximately 80 nucleotides in length. Their secondary structure includes four short double-helical elements and three loops (D, anti-codon, and T loops). Lineage: Bacteria; Pseudomonadati; Pseudomonadota; Alphaproteobacteria; Rhodospirillales. The record is from RNAcentral. RNAcentral also lists the same sequence under 2 other names.